AGUGAACGCUGGCGGUAGGCCUAACACAUGCAAGUCGAACGGCAGCACAGUAAGAGCUUGCUCUUACGGGUUGCGAGUGGCGGACGGGUGAGGAAUACAUCGUAAUCUACUUUUUCGUGGGGGAUAACGUAGGUAAACUUACGCUAAUACCGCAUACGACCUACGGGUGAAAGCAGGGGAUCUUCUGACCUUGCGCGAUUGAAUGAGCCGAUGUCGGUUUAGCUAGUUGGCGGGGUAAAGGCCCACCAAGGCGACGAUCCGUAGCUGGUGUGAGAGGAUGAUAAGCCACACGGGAAGUGGGACACGGUCCAGACUCCUACGGGAGGCAGCAGUGGGGAAUAUUGGACAAUGGGCGCGAGCCUGAUCCAGCCAGAGCGCGUGGGUGAAGAAGGCGUUCGGGGUGUAAAGCCCUUUUGUUGGGAAAGAACAGCAGCAGGUUAAGACCCAGCGGUUCUGACGGUACCCAAAGAAUAAGCACCGGCUAACUACGUG
RNAcentral lists this ribosomal RNA (492 nucleotides) under uncultured bacterium. RNAcentral describes it as "partial 16S ribosomal RNA". It matches the Rfam family "Bacterial small subunit ribosomal RNA", at positions 29 to 507 of the family's 1533-position model. The record is from RNAcentral.